UACGUAGGGGGCGAGCGUUAUCCGGAUUCACUGGGUGUAAAGGGAGCGUAGACGGCCAUGCAAGCCAGGGGUGAAGGCCCGGGGCCCAACCCCGGGACUGCCCUUGGAACUGCAUGGCUGGAGUGCGGGAGGGGCAGGCGGAAUUCCUGGUGUAGCGGUGAAAUGCGUAGAUAUCAGGAGGAACACCGGCGGCGAAGGCGGCCUGCUGGACCGCGACUGACGUUGAGGCUCGAAAGCGUGGGGAGCGAACAGG
RNAcentral lists this ribosomal RNA (253 nucleotides) under uncultured bacterium. Its description in RNAcentral is "partial 16S ribosomal RNA". It matches the Rfam family "Bacterial small subunit ribosomal RNA", at positions 524 to 776 of the family's 1533-position model. The record is from RNAcentral.